UACGGAGGGGGCUAGCGUUAUUCGGAUUUACUGGGCGUAAAGCGCGCGUAGGCGGGUCGCUAAGUCAGUGGUGAAAUCCCAGGGCUCAACCCUGGAACUGCCUUUGAUACUGACGAUCUGGAGAUCGGGAGAGGUUGGUGGAAUUCCGAGUGUAGAGGUGAAAUUCGUAGAUAUUCGGAGGAACACCAGAAGCGAAGGCGGCCAACUGGCCCGAUACUGACGCUGAGGCGCGAAAGCGUGGGGAGCAAACAGG
Molecule: ribosomal RNA, 253 nt
Filed under: uncultured bacterium
Lineage: Bacteria
Description: partial 16S ribosomal RNA
Rfam family: Bacterial small subunit ribosomal RNA
Source: RNAcentral